GGCUGAGAAUGACCACGCACAGACUGUGUGUAUCCCCACUCGUUAUGUAGCGCGGGCAGGGAGGGACACACAGUCUGAAACGCGAUCCGGAUUCGCCUCUAGUAUGCUUUGUUUUCGCCUUGCUCUUAGACAUGACUUGGAGCUACUGGACAGACAACAGUAAAUAAGACUCACAAGACAAACUGAGGACAUUCACACACAGAGCGCUUGCUGAAGACGCGAAGCUGAUGCCAGCUGCGCGGCAUGUGCUUUUAUAGCUUCCUGGUCACUUACGUCACCCCGCCCGUGACGUCACGCUCUUUCAUUGAACUGAUUACACACGAUAUUCAGAGUCGCUCACGCUAGACGUGUUCCCCAAAGCGUUUGACGCAGCUCGAGUUCCUGAAGAGGAACUGGAUGACUGUAAUUUCCUACGGCUAAGUUCUGAAAAAACAGAGGUGUUAAUUAUUGAACCAAAAACCUCUGCAUGUAAUAAACAAAAACACAGUCUAACACUUGAUGGCUGCUCUGUCAAUUCUUCAUAAUCAGUUAGCAAUCUAGGUGUACUAUUUGAUAGCAAUCUUUCCUUUGAAAACCAUGUUUCUAGAUUAUUGUAAUGCUUUAUUGGGUGGUUGCUCUGCACGCUUAAACUCCAGCUGGUCCAAAAUGCAGCAGCGAGAGUUCUUACUAGAACGAUGAAGUAUGAACAUAUUAGCCUGGUUCUGUCAACUCUGCACUUGCUCCCUAUUGAACAACAAAUACAUUUUAAAAUGUGUUAUACUGUGUUUUUGUAAUUACUUAUAAAGCCCUGAAUGGUUUAGCUCCUCAGUACUUGAGCGAGCUCAUAUCGUAUUGUAGUCCUUCACAUCUGCUGCAAUGGCCAUUUGAUAAUACCUAGAAUAUCAAAGUCAACUGCGGGCGGCAGAUCAUUUUCCUAUUUAGCGCCCAAACUCUGGAAUAACCUACCUAACAUUGUUCGGGAGGCAGACACACUCUUGCAGUUUAAAUCUAGAUUAAAGACCCAUCUCUUUAACCUGGUUUACACAUAGCACACUAAUACGCUUCUAAUAUCCAAAUCCGUUAAAGGAUAUUUAGGCUGCAAUAAUUAGGUAAACCUGAACCGGGAACACUUCCCAUAACACCCGAUGUACUUGUUACAUCGUUAGAAGAAUGGCAUCUACGCUAAUAUUAGUCUGUUUCUCUCUUAUUCCGAGGUCACCGUAGCCACCAGAUCCAGUCUGUAUCCAAGUCAGAGGGUCACUGCAGUCACCCGGAUCCAGUACGUAUCCAGCCCAGAUGGUGGAUUAGCACCUAGAAAGGACCUCUACAGCCCUGAAAGACAGCAGAGACCAG
Molecule: long non-coding RNA, 1332 nt
Organism: Cyprinus carpio carpio
Lineage: Eukaryota; Metazoa; Chordata; Actinopteri; Cypriniformes; Cyprinidae
Source: Ensembl